GCCUGCAUGGUGCAGUGGUUUGAGCAAUGGACUACAACUCUGGAGAUCAGGGUUCAAAUCUCUGCUCAGCCA
RNAcentral lists this transfer RNA (72 nucleotides) under Phrynosoma platyrhinos (Desert horned lizard). RNAcentral describes it as "tRNA-OTHER". Lineage: Eukaryota; Metazoa; Chordata; Lepidosauria; Squamata; Phrynosomatidae. The record is from RNAcentral.